This 427-nucleotide ribosomal RNA is filed under the name uncultured bacterium. RNAcentral's name for it is "partial 16S ribosomal RNA". It matches the Rfam family "Bacterial small subunit ribosomal RNA", at positions 355 to 774 of the family's 1533-position model. The record is from RNAcentral.
UGGGGAAUAUUGCACAAUGGGCGCAAGCCUGAUGCAGCCAUGCCGCGUGUAUGAAGAAGGCCUUCGGGUUGUAAAGUACUUUCAGCGGGGAGGAAGGCGAUAAGGUUAAUAACCUUGUCGAUUGACGUUAGCCGCAGAAGAAGCACCGGCUAACUCCGUGCCAGCAGCCGCGGUAAUACGGAGGGUGCAAGCGUUAAUCGGAAUUACUGGGCGUAAAGCGCACGCAGGCGGUCUGUCAAGUCGGAUGUGAAAUCCCCGGGCUCAACCUGGGAACUGCAUUCGAAACUGGCAGGCUAGAGUCUUGUAGAGGGGGGUAGAAUUCCAGGUGUAGCGGUGAAAUGCGUAGAGAUCUGGAGGAAUACCGGUGGCGAAGGCGGCCCCCUGGACAAAGACUGACGCUCAGGUGCGAAAGCGUGGGGAGCAAACA